GUCGGCCUGCGCUGCUCGGAGCUUCCGGAGCACCCAGGCUGAGCCGCGCCCGCCGCAACCACCUAGAAGAAGCCCAGCCUGGCCCUGGCACACGGUGAACCUUAAUCGAGCCCCAGUGACAAAAAGAAAGAGAAGCUGGGCUUAACUAUACCAGAAUUCACGGCAGGGCGAUGUCAGCCAUGUUUCCUGAGCCUAUCAACCACCGCCACCAGCAUCACCAACAAUAUCUACCAGUUUUUACAGAUUUUAGUGAAGAAAUCCUACAGUAAAAGAUUUUGAAAAAUGACUUUCCCCAAUGUAUCUCUUGA
This 308-nucleotide long non-coding RNA is filed under the name Homo sapiens (human). RNAcentral describes it as "non-protein coding lnc-GDF7-5:1". Lineage: Eukaryota; Metazoa; Chordata; Mammalia; Primates; Hominidae. The record is from RNAcentral.